AUUGAACGCUGGCGGCGUGCUUAACACAUGCAAGUCGAUCGGUAACAGGUGUAGCAAUACAUGCUGACGAGAGGCGGACGGGUGAGGAAUAUUUGGGAAUCUGCCCAUCAGCGGGGGACAACCCGGGGAAACCCGGGCUAAUACCGCAUACGCUCUACGGAGGAAAGCCGGGGACCGCAAGGCCGGGCACUGCUGGAUGAGCCCAAAUCGGAUAAGCUAGUUGGCGGGGUAACGGCCCACCAAGACGACGAACCGUAGCUGGUCUGAGAGGACGAUCAGCCACACCGGAACUGAGACACGGUCCGGACUCCUACGGGAGGCAGCAGUGGGGAAUAUUGGACAAUGGGGGAAACCCUGAUCCAGCGACGCCGCGUGGGUGAAGAAGGCCUGCGGGUUGUAAAGCCCUUUCGGUAGGGACGAAAGCUCUUGCUCUAAUAAUGCAAGAGGUUGACUUAACCUACAUAAGAAGCACCGGCUAACUCUGUGCCAGCCGCCGCCGUAA
RNAcentral lists this ribosomal RNA (502 nucleotides) under uncultured bacterium. RNAcentral describes it as "partial 16S ribosomal RNA". It matches the Rfam family "Bacterial small subunit ribosomal RNA", at positions 29 to 523 of the family's 1533-position model. The record is from RNAcentral.